This 706-nucleotide ribosomal RNA is filed under the name uncultured bacterium. Its description in RNAcentral is "bacterial SSU rRNA". It matches the Rfam family "Bacterial small subunit ribosomal RNA", at positions 524 to 1230 of the family's 1533-position model. The record is from RNAcentral.
CAAGUAGGCCGCAAUNGUUGUUCGGAUUUACUUGGGCUAUAAAGGGUUCGCAGGCGGACCAAUAAGUCAGAGGUGAAAGCCAACGGCUCAACCGUUGAAUUGCCUCUGAUACUGUUGGCCUUGAGUCCGUUAGGGGAUAGUGGAAUUCCUGGUGUAGCGGUGAAAUGCGUAAAUAUCAGGAGGAACACCAGUGGCGAAGGCGGCUAUCUGGGACGGAACUGACGCUGAGGAACGAAAGCAUGGGUAUCGAGCGGGAUUAGAUACCCCGGUAGUCCAUGCUGUAAACGAUGGGCACUAGGUGUUGGAGGACUCUACCCCUUCAGUGCCGAAGCUAACGCAUUAAGUGCCCCACCUGGGGAGUACGAUCGCAAGGUUGAAACUCAAAGGAAUUGACGGGGGCCCGCACAAGCGGUGGAGCAUGUGGUUUAAUUCGAUGCAACGCGAAGAACCUUACCUGGACUUGACAUGCAGGAGACAGCCGUAGAGAUACGGUUUCCUUCGGGUUCCUGCACAGGUGCUGCAUGGCUGUCGUCAGCUCGUGUCGUGAAAUGUUGGGUUAAGUCCCGCAACGAGCGCAACCCUUGUCCUUAGUUGCCAUCAGGUAAUGCUGGGAACUCUAAGGAGACUGCCGGUGUCAACCGGAGGAAGGUGGGGAUGACGUCAAGUCCUCAUGGCCCUUACGUCCAGGGCUACACACGUGCUACAA